UGAACGCUGGCGGCAUGCCUUCCACAUGCACGUCGACCGGUAACGGGCCUUCGGGUGCCGACGAGUGGCGAACGGGUGAGUAAUACAUCGGAACGUGCCCGAUCGUGGGGGAUAACGAGGCGAAAGCUUUGCUAAUACCGCAUACGAUCUACGGAUGAAAGCAGGGGACCGCAAGGCCUUGCGCGGACGGAGCGGCCGAUGGCAGAUUAGGUAGUUGGUGGGAUAAAAGCUUACCAAGCCGACGAUCUGUAGCUGGUCUGAGAGGAUGAUCAGCCACACUGGGACUGAGACACGGCCCAGACUCCUACGGGAGGCAGCAGUGGGGAAUUUUGGACAAUGGGCGCAAGCCUGAUCCAGCCAUGCCGCGUGCAGGAUGAAGGCCUUCGGGUUGUAAACUGCUUUUGUACGGAACGAAAAGCCUUCUUUUAAUACAGGAGGGUCAUGACGGUACCGGAAGAAUAAGCACCGGCUAACUACGUG
Molecule: ribosomal RNA, 480 nt
Filed under: uncultured bacterium
Lineage: Bacteria
Description: partial 16S ribosomal RNA
Rfam family: Bacterial small subunit ribosomal RNA
Source: RNAcentral